Molecule: ribosomal RNA, 427 nt
Filed under: uncultured bacterium
Lineage: Bacteria
Description: partial 16S ribosomal RNA
Rfam family: Bacterial small subunit ribosomal RNA
Source: RNAcentral
UGGGGAAUAUUGCACAAUGGGCGCAAGCCUGAUGCAGCCAUGCCGCGUGUGUGAAGAAGGCCUUCGGGUUGUAAAGCACUUUCAGCGAGGAGGAAGGGUAGUGUGUUAAUAGCACAUUGCAUUGACGUUACUCGCAGAAGAAGCACCGGCUAACUCCGUGCCAGCAGCCGCGGUAAUACGGAGGGUGCAAGCGUUAACCGGAAUUACUGGGCGUAAAGCGCACGCAGGCGGUUUGUUAAGUCAGAUGUGAAAUCCCCGCGCUUAACGUGGGAACUGCAUUUGAAACUGGCAAGCUAGAGUCUUGUAGAGGGGGGUAGAAUUCCAGGUGUAGCGGUGAAAUGCGUAGAGAUCUGGAGGAAUACCGGUGGCGAAGGCGGCCCCCUGGACAAAGACUGACGCUCAGGUGCGAAAGCGUGGGGAGCAAACA